AGGGAUUAUGGGACGACUAGGCCGAGUUUUGUGGGGGAAGGGUUCAUGGACGCGUUGCAGCGUUCGAGAAACGCGUUUAAGCUCUUGUUUGUUUACCUGCACUCUCCUGAUCAUCCCGAUACGCCAUUGUUCUGUGAGAGGACAUUGUGUUCGGAGACUGUUGCAGCGUUUGUGAAUGAGAAUUUUGUUUCGUGGGGAGGGAGUAUUCGCGCUAGUGAAGGUUUUAAGAUGAGU
Molecule: unclassified non-coding RNA, 234 nt
Filed under: Hevea brasiliensis (rubber tree)
Lineage: Eukaryota; Viridiplantae; Streptophyta; Magnoliopsida; Malpighiales; Euphorbiaceae
Source: RNAcentral